This 246-nucleotide ribosomal RNA is filed under the name uncultured bacterium. RNAcentral's name for it is "partial 16S ribosomal RNA". It matches the Rfam family "Bacterial small subunit ribosomal RNA", at positions 57 to 305 of the family's 1533-position model. The record is from RNAcentral.
GCAAGUCGAGCGGUAACAGGAAUUAGCUUGCUAAUUCGCUGACGAGCGGCGGACGGGUGAGUAAUGCCUGGGAAUAUGCCUUAGUGUGGGGGAUAACUAUUGGAAACGAUAGCUAAUACCGCAUAAUGUCUUCGGACCAAAGGGGGCUUCGGCUCUCGCCUUUAGAUUGGCCCAAGUGGGAUUAGCUAGUUGGUGGGGUAAUGGCUCACCAAGGCGACGAUCCCUAGCUGGUUUGAGAGGAUGAUC